Non-coding RNA from Plectropomus leopardus (leopard coralgrouper), 706 nucleotides. The record is from RefSeq and is a predicted model, not a curated record. Lineage: Eukaryota; Metazoa; Chordata; Actinopteri; Perciformes; Serranidae.
CAAGGGUUGUUUUUUACUUGAGUUGAAUAUAGUGGUUUUCUAUUCACAUUGACAGAUAUUAAAAUCAGCAAAAUCCACUUUUUUAUUCAAGAAGAUCAAAAUGACUGCAAAUAUUAGAACCUCUGAACUCAUAACAUUCACGUUAUCGUAGAAUAAUCUGAUCACAUUUUGCAUGAGUAUCCUCUUUUGCUCAAUGUUCAAAGUCCUGUUGCUUUCUUUUCAAGCUAAUGAAGUAGCAUUAUGUGAUUUUUACUUGCAGCAGGUUGGACUUUUCAAUGGAUGAGGAGGACGUUUUUGCAGUUGCUGAUUUGGAGUCAUCAAAUGAAAUGGACGAUCCAGGAGUUUUUGUCUGAGGAGGGAUGGAAAUGCCCUGAAUGCAUCCAUCACCAGCUACUUCAUCAGUCGCUUGGUAGCAAGUUAUCUUUCACUGCUUAUUCAGAGGAGAUUUCUUAAAACGAAAACAAUCUGUUAAAAAACAAACACCUGCGGUUUCUGUUAUUAUGAGUUUGUUUAAACUGCUGCACUUCAGGUUUGAGGGCAAUACACUUCAAAACACACCAGAAUUAUGUGCUGAUAUGUCAUCUGUGUGCGAGUGUGUUGAUUGAUUUUUGUCAUCAAAUGGCUUUGUGAAGGUUAAAAUGUGGGUUUAAGGUUAACGUUUGACUUUGGUUCCUGGUUGGAAAUAAGUUUAUGUAAAAGGGUUAAG